RNAcentral lists this ribosomal RNA (253 nucleotides) under uncultured bacterium. Its description in RNAcentral is "partial 16S ribosomal RNA". It matches the Rfam family "Bacterial small subunit ribosomal RNA", at positions 524 to 776 of the family's 1533-position model. The record is from RNAcentral.
UACGUAGGCAGCGAGCGUUGUUCGGAAUUACUGGGCGUAAAGAGUGUGUAGGCGGUGCUCUAAGUUCGGUGUGAAAUCUCCUGGCUCAACUGGGAGGGUGCGCCGGAUACUGAGGGGCUAGAGUGUGGGAGAGGAAAGUGGAAUUCCAGGUGUAGCGGUGAAAUGCGUAGAUAUCUGGAGGAACACCGGUGGUGUAAACGGCUUUCUGGACCAUUACUGACGCUGAUGCACGAAAGCGUGGGUAGCAAACAGG